AACGAACGCUGGCGGCGCGCCUAAUACAUGCAAGUCGAGCGAGAAGACGUAGCAAUACGUUUGUAAAGCGGCGAACGGGUGAGGAAUACAUGGGUAACCUACCCUCGAGUGGGGAAUAACUAGCCGAAAGGUUAGCUAAUACCGCGUACGCUCCUUGGACUUCGGUUCAGGGAGGAAAGCGAUACCGUGGGUAUCGCGCUCUUGGAUGGGCUCAUGUCCUAUCAGCUUGUUGGUGAGGAACGGCUCACCAAGGCUUCGACGGGUAGCUGGUCUGAGAGGACGAUCAGCCACACUGGCACUGCGACACGGGCCAGACUCCUACGGGAGGCAGCAGUAAGGAAUAUUGCGCAAUGGGCGAAAGCCUGACGCAGCGACGCCGCGUGAAGGAUGAAGUAUUUCGGUAUGUAAACUUCGAAAGAAUGGGAAGAAUAAAUGACGGUACCAUUUAUAAGGUCCGGCUAACUACGUGCCAGCCGCCGCAGU
Molecule: ribosomal RNA, 483 nt
Filed under: uncultured bacterium
Lineage: Bacteria
Description: bacterial SSU rRNA
Rfam family: Bacterial small subunit ribosomal RNA
Source: RNAcentral